Molecule: ribosomal RNA, 393 nt
Filed under: uncultured bacterium
Lineage: Bacteria
Description: partial 16S ribosomal RNA
Rfam family: Bacterial small subunit ribosomal RNA
Source: RNAcentral
AUACGGAGGAUGCGAGCGUUAUCCGGAUUUAUUGGGUUUAAAGGGAGCGUAGGUGGGAUAUUAAGUCAGCUGUGAAAGUUUGGGGCUCAACCUUAAAAUUGCAGUUGAUACUGGUUUCCUUGAGUACGGUACAGGUGGGCGGAAUUCGUGGUGUAGCGGUGAAAUGCUUAGAUAUCACGAAGAACUCCGAUCGCGAAGGCAGCUCACCGGGCCGGAACUGUCACUGAUGCUCGAAAGUGCGGGUAUCAAACAGGAUUAGAUACCCUGGUAGUCCGCACAGUAAACGAUGAAUACUCGCUGUUUGCGAUACACGGUAAGCGGACAAGCGAAAGCGUUAAGUAUUCCACCUGGGGAGUACGCCGGCAACGGUGAAACUCAAAGGAAUUGACGGGG